Molecule: ribosomal RNA, 253 nt
Filed under: uncultured bacterium
Lineage: Bacteria
Description: partial 16S ribosomal RNA
Rfam family: Bacterial small subunit ribosomal RNA
Source: RNAcentral
UACGGGGGGGGCAAGCGUUGUUCGGAAUUACUGGGCGUAAAGGGCUCGUAGGCGGCCAACUAAGUCAGACGUGAAAUCCCUCGGCUUAACCGGGGAACUGCAUCUGAUACUGGAUGGCUUGAGUUCGGGAGAGGGAUGCGGAAUUCCAGGUGUAGCGGUGAAAUGCGUAGAUAUCUGGAGGAGCACCGGUGGCGAAGGCGGCAUCCUGGACCGACACUGACGCUGAGGAGCGAAAGCGUGGGGAGCAAACAGG